CCUGAGAAACCCGAAAGAUCGAACGGGGAGAUUCAUCGUCAGCGAUUCUGGUACUUGUACGGUUCGCGAUAUCACGGGGCUUCUGUCUCGCGGCACGCGGUCCGUAUGAUUAUUUUGCCGGUAUCGUCGGCGUGCACUUCUCCCCUGGUAGGACGUCGCGACCCGUUGGGUGUCGGUCUACGGCCCGGGUGGGAGCCUCUCUCGUGUGCGCUUCGCGGCGCUUACGCGGGUCAGACCCCCGGUUGCCCGACCCUGCUGCCCGGCGGUGUAAUUCGCGGUAUCUAGUCGCAAGUAUUUAAACUGCGUCCGGCCCGUUGCAAGCGAGGCAAGUGCUUUCCCGGUAGUUCGGAUCUAAUGCCGUCAUCGGGCCUUGCCAGCUGUUGGUUGACGGUGUCCUAGACUGACUAUUGCAAUUGUGAUACCGGUCGGCGAUGCUACUGCUUUGGGUACUUUCAGGACCCGUCUUGAAACACGGACCAAGGAGUCUAACAUGUGCGCGAGUCAUUGGGAACUGUAAGCCUAAAGGCGCAAUGAAAGUGAAGAUGGGCCUCGCGCCAAUCGAGGGAGGAUGGGUUGCGUCACAAUGCUUCCUCGCACUCCCGGGGUGUCUCGUUCUCAUCGCGAGAAGAGGCGCACCCAAAGCGUACACCUUG
Molecule: ribosomal RNA, 653 nt
Filed under: Euceros madecassus
Lineage: Eukaryota; Metazoa; Arthropoda; Insecta; Hymenoptera; Ichneumonidae
Description: eukaryotic LSU rRNA
Rfam family: Eukaryotic large subunit ribosomal RNA
Source: RNAcentral